Molecule: ribosomal RNA, 404 nt
Filed under: Actinomycetes bacterium
Lineage: Bacteria; Bacillati; Actinomycetota; Actinomycetes
Description: Actinobacteria bacterium partial 16S ribosomal RNA
Rfam family: Bacterial small subunit ribosomal RNA
Source: RNAcentral
UGGGGAAUAUUGGACAAUGGGCGCAAGCCUGAUCCAGCCAUGCCGCGUGAGUGAUGAAGGCCCUAGGGUUGUAAAGCUCUUUCACCGGUGAAGAUAAUGACGGUAACCGGAGAAGAAGCCCCGGCUAACUUCUUGCCAGCAGCCGCGGUAAUACGAAGGGGGCUAGCGUUGUUCGGAUUUACUGGGCGUAAAGCGCACGUAGGCGGACUAUUAAGUCAGGGGUGAAAUCCCGGGGCUCAACCCCGGAACUGCCUUUGAUACUGGUAGUCUUGAGUUCGAGAGAGGUGAGUGGAAUUCCGGGUGUAGAGGUGAAAUUCGUAGAUAUUCGGAGGAACACCAGUGGCGAAGGCGGCUCACUGGCUCGAUACUGACGCUGAGGUGCGAAAGCGUGGGGAGCAAACAGG